Molecule: long non-coding RNA, 1214 nt
Organism: Schistocerca nitens (vagrant locust)
Lineage: Eukaryota; Metazoa; Arthropoda; Insecta; Orthoptera; Acrididae
Exons: 2
Source: RefSeq, a predicted model, not a curated record
CACCCACAACGCUUGCGCUCAAGUUACUUUUGCAGCUUGUUCUCGGACUAACCGAGUGAGAAGGCGGCCAACGGCUGGCUCCUUACCUGUGCCGAAGGUCUCCUUGUUGAGGUGCUUCCAGCCGAGAGAGACCUUGGUUUCCAUGGCAGCGGCGGCGGCGACGGCAGCGGCAGGGGACGCCUCGCAACGAAGAGCGGCGCUGGCAAAGUCUGCGGCAGCGAAUGGUGGUGGUGGUGGCGCGACCUCGGCUAACCUAAGCCGCCGGCUCUAUCAAGCGGGCAUGCAGCGGCCAGGCGCCGACCUCCGCCACACACAGAGCGCAGCACGCGCUCGACACAUAUCUGCCCACUGACCGGCACACAAUUGCUCUCCUCACAAAUCACAAUCUUUCCCAAUUUACCGCCGACUCUGUCGCGAAGCUCACGCUUCAGCUCCGACAGAUGCGCACAUACUCAGCUAAUAGCUCCACACCUUACACUCAGCUGCCAUUGUAGAGAGUCGGAGGGUACAGCUACUUCCUUAAGUUCAAUUCACGAAUUGAACGUGAGAAAGUGCUACCAGUCUUUAGUUACUAUCAUUGUCCCUACAGGAAAACUACGUGACGUAAGAAGCUGAAGAACUUUUUCUUUGGGACUUUUUGAAACUAUUAAGAGGUAUUUCAUCUACAGGUCACGAAAGUGGCAUCAUUACCGGUUUCGAUCUUAUGAUCAACUCGUCAUUAGAUGAAGAGUGGAAAUGUCAACACUGUAAGUGCCAUUUCUCCACAAAAUGCGUUUUCAAAUUUGUUGCGUUUUCCGUACUCUGUAGCACGUCCCUACAUUCGUUCCAAGUUCCAAAUCAUGGAGAGGAUGUUGCGAACAUUUGUCACUAGAUGGCGCAUAGUCUUUGUGCGAAGCAGUGCUUCCCUCUGGAGUUCGAAAUAUCAAUGUAUUCUCCAAUUUCAUGUAGUUUGUGUGGUAAUCAGAGAGCUUGUAAACAGUUGUUUGUAUCAGUAAAACAUCUUUGUAACGGAAAGAAAUACUUUGGGUUUCAAAAACAGUAAAAAAAGUUAGAGAAUGAACACACAAAAAACAACGUGUGUCUUGUGUCUGGAAAAUGUUAAGAAAGCCAUUUCUUCCUUAGCAGUGCAGGAAGUUCAGCAGUAAACUUUACAUCUAAACUCAAGUUGGCAGUGUGUAAGAAACAUACAUCAAUACUGAAAGUUUUUUUUUCCC